RNAcentral lists this transfer RNA (81 nucleotides) under Planctomycetaceae bacterium. Its description in RNAcentral is "tRNA-Val". The record is from RNAcentral. Lineage: Bacteria; Pseudomonadati; Planctomycetota; Planctomycetia; Planctomycetales; Planctomycetaceae.
CGAACUUCUGGCGGAAGGCGUGAUCGUUGUUGACGUCGACGAGACACGGCGACCAUCGCUGUACGACCGAGCGAAGUUCCC